CUCCAGACUCCUACGGGAGGCAGCAGUGAGGAAUAUUGGUCAAUGGGCGAGAGCCUGAACCAGCCAAGUCGCGUGAAGGAUGACGGCCCUACGGGUUGUAAACUUCUUUUGUCAGGGAGCAAUUGAGUCCACGUGUGGUCUUAGCGAGAGUACCUGAAGAAAAAGCAUCGGCUAACUCCGUGCCAGCAGCCGCGGUAAUACGGAGGAUGCGAGCGUUAUCCGGAUUUAUUGGGUUUAAAGGGUGCGUAGGCGGAUUUUUAAGUCAGCGGUAAAAUGUCCGGGCUCAACCCGGGCCGGCCGUUGAAACUGGGGAUCUUGAGUGGGCGAGAAGUAUGCGGAAUGCGUGGUGUAGCGGUGAAAUGCAUAGAUAUCACGCAGAACUCCGAUUGCGAAGGCAGCAUACCGGCGCCCGACUGACGCUGAGGCACGAAAGCGUGGGGAUCGAACAGGAUUAGAUACCCCAGUAA
This 467-nucleotide ribosomal RNA is filed under the name uncultured bacterium. RNAcentral describes it as "bacterial SSU rRNA". It matches the Rfam family "Bacterial small subunit ribosomal RNA", at positions 329 to 793 of the family's 1533-position model. The record is from RNAcentral.